GCGGGCAACUACUGGGCCGCCCGCAACCUCCACCCCCUCGGGGCUGCGACUCCUUUAGGGAAGGCAGAGGAGGUGCGGGAUGGAUGGACGCAUCCCGCAGAGCCGGGACCCUGGCCCACGCUCCGCCUCCCACUAGAGAGCCUCCAGAGACCCAUGCCACUUGGGAGCUCCCCUUCUGCUUCUGAGAAUUCUCAGUUCCAUCCCUGAGUCGGUCCUCCUGAGAGAAGUGGGGGAUGAGGAGGAGAAAAACUUGCCUCCUGUUACUUGUGUUGGGACCCCGCGAUUUGGUUUCCUACAGAAGCUAAGCAGGAAACUGGAGAUCAGAAAACAAGAAGCUAAAAGUAGAGAAUUAUGAGGUUCUAAGGAAUGGCAAAACAGAAGACAGAGGAGCCUGGAUCUCUGAAUCAACUACAUGGAGGAAAGUCUCCAGCUGACCAAGAAUACCCGCACUGGGCUCUUUGGUGAACAAAAAACAGACUUCAAUUGUGUGAAGCCACUGGUACUGUGGGGUUUAUUUGUUAUAGCAGCUAGCAUUACCAUCACCCAAGUAGAAUAUGUUGGGGUAGGGGAAGCAGAUCACGGAGAGCCUUGUAGCCGCACUGUAAAGAUUUUGUCUUUGUCUCUGAAUAAAAGGAAAAGUCACUGUAGAAUUUUGAACAAAGGAGUGUCAUGAUCUGCCUUGUUUAAAAGGAUAUGUAAGGUACCAUUUUAAGCACUUCAUAUAUAUUAACUCUGCCUUGAACUUGUCCUGAACUCAGAUUUGUAUAUCCAACUGACUUCUUAUCAUCUCAAUCUGGAGGUCUAAGAGGCAUCUCAAAGUUAACAUAUUCCAAAUCAAAUUUCUAAUUUACACCCAUAAUAUGCUGCCCCUUCCACAUGCUUUCCCCAUCUCAGUAAGUGAAAGCACUUCAUGCUUUCAGUUCAUGCCAAAAACCUUACACUCAUUCUUCUCUCUCUCUCUCUCUUUCCCUCCCUCCCCACACCUACACCACACACACACACACACACACACACACACACACACACACACACACACAGUCCACGUAAUAUCCAUUAGAAAAUUCUAUUGGUUCUGAAAAUUUUAACAAUGAGUAAAGCAUAGCACAGUUCUGUCUACUUUUAACCCUUGUUUGGUUCAGAAAGUUAUAAAAGGAAGCUGGAAAAAGAACAGGUUACUGAAAGUGUGAAACAUCCUGGUUACACGAAAUCCAGAAAAUCACUAAGCAUGUUUUGAAAAAUACUUUGUAACUGUAUCUUAUAAGUUACCCCUACCUUUAGUGAGUGUUGCUGGAUAAUGAUAUUAAUAAUGGAAAAACUGGGAAAAAAGACAAAUUCAUAUUAUAUAAAAUACAAUGAUAUAUACAGUGCAUGUAAUAAUCCUUUAUUUUUAAUAUAAAAGAAAAAGUAUAUAAUUUUUAUUAAUAAAUCAGUUUCUUUCCCUUUGCUUAAUAUAUAUUCAACACAUAUUUUUAAAAUAUCAUUUUGAAAGAUACCAGAUUACCUGCCUUAUUACUCCCUUGGGUGUUAGUUCUUCCCUGGAGAAAUGCAGCAACAGCAGGGCUAACCUUGCAAGUCUGUACCUUACAAAAGCAACACCAAAGUAAAGGGAGGGAGGAUAUGAUCACAAUAGAUCAGCCCAAGAGCAGAGCAAAUGAGCCCCUAGGAAAGGGCCACACAGAUCUACUCACAGAGCCAAACCUUGCUUUGAAAGCUGGAAUGAGGUCAUGGCGUAUCUUCAAUCAACACUAACUGCAAAAUUAUAUAUAUUUGUAUUGCAGUGUUGUUUGUAAGAGAAACCCCCUUCCCCCCUCAAAAAAAAAAAAAAAACUGGAAACAAUCUAAAUAUCCAGCUUUAGGGAACGGGUUAAAGAAACUACAGCUUGUAAAUAUUGAAAUAUUAUGCAUCUGCAAAACAAAACAGGAAGACAAGGAAAGAAGAAAACACAAGGAAAAAAAUAAAAGAGACUCAUUAGGUACUGAUACAGAAAAAAAUCCAAGAUAUAUCGCUAAUAUAAAAAGCAAGUGCAAAACUGUGUGUGUAGCAGUUCAAACAUGGAAGUAACCCAAGUGUCCAUUGAUAGGUGAAUGAAUAAGUAAAACGUAGUAUAUAGAUACAAUGGGAUAUUAUUCCGCCUGAAAAAGGAAGGAAACUUUGACAUAUGCUACAACAUGGAUGAGGCUUGAGGACAUCAUGCGACGUCUUUUUGUGACACAAGCCAGUCACAAAAAGACUAAUACUGUGUGAUUCUACUUACAUAUGGUACCUAGAAUAGUCAAAGUCAUAGAGACAGAAAGAGAAAAGCGGUUGCCAGGAGCUGGGGAUGGGAGGAGAGGAAUGAGGAGUUAUUGUUUAAUUGGUAUAGAGUGUCUAUUUUGCAAAAUAAAAAGAGUUCUGGAGAUGGAUGGUGGUGGUGGCUGCAGAACAUUAUGAAUGUACCUAACGCCUCUGAAUGUACACAUAAACGUGAUGAAAAUGGUAACUUUUAUGUUAUGUGUAUUUUACCACAAUUUUUCAAAUUGAGAAAAAAAUCCACAGUAAAAAUAAAAUAAAAUUUCAAGGUAAGUCAUCAUUCUUUGUUUGUUCUGAAUUUACUUCUUGGACGCUGGCUUUUAAAAAUGAAAAAGUAGAUCUGAGCUGAAAAUACAAGUAAAAUGUAGGAGAAAGCAAUAUAGGGGUAGGGGAUUAAGAGAUACAAAGUAUUAGGUAGAAAAUAAGCUACAAGGAUAUAGUGUACAACACAAGGAAUAUAGCCAAUAUUUUAUACUAAGUAUAAGUGAACUAUAACCUUUAAAAACUGUGAAUCACUACAUCGUACACCUGUAAUUUAUAUAAUGUUGUACAUCAACUAUACUUCAAAAAAAUAAAAUUAAAAAUAAAUAAAUUAAAUGUAGAAGAAACAAAGUCACUUAUUAAAGAACAGCUCUGAGUGGAACUCUGAAUGGAUCUCUGAAGUCAGACACCCAAGGUUCAAAUCUCAACUUUACCAUUUACAAAAUCUGUAAUUUUAGGUAAAUUUCUUAACCUCUCUGUGCCUUAAUUUUUUCAUCUGUAAAAUGGAGAUAAUGAUAUUACUUGCCUCAUAUGUUUGUUGUGUGAAUUAAAGUGAUACAUGUAAAAAACAGGUGUGUGUAAUAUGCUGUCAUCUGUGUAAAAAAGAUAAAAGAAGUAUGUACUUUAUUCUUUCUUGUAUAUGCAUAUACUAUUUUUGGAAGAAUAAAUUAUUCUGUUAAACUUUACUGCUUCUAGGGACAGAAACUGAAUGACAGGGAUUGGGAACAGAAGGGAAG
Molecule: long non-coding RNA, 3288 nt
Organism: Orcinus orca (killer whale)
Lineage: Eukaryota; Metazoa; Chordata; Mammalia; Artiodactyla; Delphinidae
Exons: 3
Source: RefSeq, a predicted model, not a curated record